Molecule: transfer RNA, 93 nt
Filed under: Armatimonadetes bacterium CG17_big_fil_post_rev_8_21_14_2_50_66_6
Lineage: Bacteria; Bacillati; Armatimonadota
Description: tRNA-Ser
Rfam family: tRNA
About the family: Transfer RNA (tRNA) molecules are approximately 80 nucleotides in length. Their secondary structure includes four short double-helical elements and three loops (D, anti-codon, and T loops). Further hydrogen bonds mediate the characteristic L-shaped molecular structure. tRNAs have two regions of fundamental functional importance: the anti-codon, which is responsible for specific mRNA codon recognition, and the 3' end, to which the tRNAs corresponding amino acid is attached (by aminoacyl-tRNA synthetases). tRNAs cope with the degeneracy of the genetic code in two manners: having more than one tRNA (with a specific anti-codon) for a particular amino acid; and 'wobble' base-pairing, i.e. permitting non-standard base-pairing at the 3rd anti-codon position.
Source: RNAcentral
GGAGAGAUGACCGAGAGGCCGAAGGUGCUCGCCUGCUAAGCGAGUGUGGGUGUUAAAAGCCCACCGAGGGUUCGAAUCCCUCUCUCUCCGCCG